Molecule: ribosomal RNA, 250 nt
Filed under: uncultured bacterium
Lineage: Bacteria
Description: partial 16S ribosomal RNA
Rfam family: Bacterial small subunit ribosomal RNA
Source: RNAcentral
UACGUAGGUGGCAAGCGUUGUCCGGAUUUACUGGGCGUAAAGGGUGCGUAGGCGGAUGUUUAAGUGAGAUGUGAAAUACCCGGGCUUAACCUGGGCACUGCAUUUCAAACUGGAUAUCUAGAGUGCAGGAGAGGAGAAUGGAAUUCCUAGUGUAGCGGUGAAAUGCGUAGAGAUUAGGAAGAACACCAGUGGCGAAGGCGAUUCUCUGGACUGUAACUGACGCUGAGGCACGAAAGCGUGGGUAGCAAAC